Molecule: ribosomal RNA, 253 nt
Filed under: uncultured bacterium
Lineage: Bacteria
Description: partial 16S ribosomal RNA
Rfam family: Bacterial small subunit ribosomal RNA
Source: RNAcentral
UACGUAGGGUGCAAGCGUUGUCCGGAAUUAUUGGGCGUAAAGGGUGUGUAGGCGGUUGCCUAAGUCUUCUGUGAAAUCUACGGGCUUAGCCUGUAACGUGCAGAGGAAACUGGGCGACUUGAGUGUCGGAGAGGAUAGGGGAAUACCCGGUGUAGAGGUGAAAUUCGUAGAGAUCGGGUGGAACACCAGUGGCGAAGGCGCCUGUCUGGCUGACAACUGACGCUGAGACUCGAAAGCAUGGGGAGCAAACAGG